GACGAACGCUGGCGGCGUGCUUAACACAUGCAAGUCGAACGGAAAGGCCCUGCUUUUGUGGGGUGCUCGAGUGGCGAACGGGUGAGUAACACGUGAGUAACCUGCCCUUGACUUUGGGAUAACUUCAGGAAACUGGGGCUAAUACCGGAUAGGAGCUCCUGCUGCAUGGUGGGGGUUGGAAAGUUUCGGCGGUUGGGGAUGGACUCGCGGCUUAUCAGCUUGUUGGUGGGGUAGUGGCUUACCAAGGCUUUGACGGGUAGCCGGCCUGAGAGGGUGACCGGCCACAUUGGGACUGAGAUACGGCCCAGACUCCUACGGGAGGCAGCAGUGGGGAAUAUUGCACAAUGGGCUGAAGCCUGAUGCAGCAACUCCGCGUGCGGGAUGACGGCCUUCGGGUUGUAAACCGCUUUCGCCUGUGACGAAGCGUGAGUGACGGUAAUGGGUAAAGAAGCACCGGCUAACUACGUG
RNAcentral lists this ribosomal RNA (468 nucleotides) under uncultured bacterium. RNAcentral describes it as "partial 16S ribosomal RNA". It matches the Rfam family "Bacterial small subunit ribosomal RNA", at positions 28 to 507 of the family's 1533-position model. The record is from RNAcentral.